This 700-nucleotide ribosomal RNA is filed under the name uncultured Actinomycetes bacterium. RNAcentral's name for it is "bacterial SSU rRNA". It matches the Rfam family "Bacterial small subunit ribosomal RNA", at positions 94 to 808 of the family's 1533-position model. The record is from RNAcentral. Lineage: Bacteria; Bacillati; Actinomycetota; Actinomycetes.
AGUGGCGAACGGGUGAGUAACACGUGAGUAACCUGCCCUUGACUCUGGGAUAACUGCUAGAAAUGGUAGCUAAUACCGGAUACGACCCUCGGCGGCAUCGCCAGGGGGUGGAAAGAAUUUCGGUCAAGGAUGGACUCGCGGCCUAUCAGCUAGUUGGUGAGGUAACGGCUCACCAAGGCGACGACGGGUAGCCGGCCUGAGAGGGUGACCGGCCACACUGGGACUGAGACACGGCCCAGACUCCUACGGGAGGCAGCAGUGGGGAAUAUUGCACAAUGGGCGCAAGCCUGAUGCAGCAACGCCGCGUGAGGGAUGACGGCCUUCGGGUUGUAAACCUCUUUUAGUAGGGAAGAAGCGAAAGUGACGGUACCUGCAGAAAAAGCACCGGCUAACUACGUGCCAGCAGCCGCGGUAAUACGUAGGGUGCAAGCGUUGUCCGGAAUUAUUGGGCGUAAAGAGCUCGUAGGCGGUUUGUCGCGUCUGCUGUGAAAUCCCGAGGCUCUACCUCGGGCCUGCAGUGGGUACGGGCAAACUAGAGUGUGGUAGGGGAGAUUGGAACUCCUGGUGUAGCGGUGGAAUGCGCAGAUAUCAGGAAGAACACCGAUGGCGAAGGCAGAUCUCUGGGCCAUUACUGACGCUGAGGAGCGAAAGCGUGGGGAGCGAACAGGAUUAGAUACCCUGGUAGUCCACGCCGUAAACG